RNAcentral lists this non-coding RNA (24 nucleotides) under Rattus norvegicus (Norway rat). The record is from RNAcentral. Lineage: Eukaryota; Metazoa; Chordata; Mammalia; Rodentia; Muridae.
UAGGUUAAGCUUUGCAUGGUGGGU